AGCAGCCGCGGUAAUUCCAGCUCCAAUAGCGUAUAUUAAAGUUGCUGCAGUUAAAAAGCUCGUAGUUGAAUUUCGGGACUAAUAUGUCGGUCGUGCCUCGGUACGUACUGGCUUAUUGGUUUCUCCUUUCUGAAGAACCAUGAUGUCAUUUAUUUGGUGUCGUGGGGAAUCAGGACUGUUACUUUGAAGAAAUUAGAGUGUUUAAAGCAGGCUCACGCUUGAAUACAUUAGCAUGGAAUAAUGAAAUAGGACGUUUGAUUCUAUUUUGUUGGUUUCUAGGAUCGACGUAAUGAUUAAUAGGGAUAGUUGGGGGCAUUAGUAUUCAAUUGUCAGAGGUGAAAUUCUUGGAUUUAUUGAAGACUAACUACUGCGAAAGCAUUUGCCAAGGAUGUUUUCAUUAAUCAAGAACGAAAGUUAGGGGAUCGAAGACGAUCAGAUACCGUCGUAGUCUUAACCAUAAACUAUGCCGAC
RNAcentral lists this unclassified non-coding RNA (471 nucleotides) under uncultured Glomus. RNAcentral describes it as "SSU rRNA". It matches the Rfam family "Eukaryotic small subunit ribosomal RNA", at positions 569 to 1046 of the family's 1831-position model. Lineage: Eukaryota; Fungi; Glomeromycota; Glomeromycetes; Glomerales; Glomeraceae. The record is from RNAcentral.